This 260-nucleotide ribosomal RNA is filed under the name uncultured Staphylococcus sp. Its description in RNAcentral is "partial 16S ribosomal RNA". It matches the Rfam family "Bacterial small subunit ribosomal RNA", at positions 505 to 764 of the family's 1533-position model. Lineage: Bacteria; Bacillati; Bacillota; Bacilli; Caryophanales; Staphylococcaceae. The record is from RNAcentral.
GUGCCAGCAGCCGCGGUAAUACGUAGGUGGCAAGCGUUAUCCGGAAUUAUUGGGCGUAAAGCGCACGUAGGCGGUUUUUUAAGUCUGAUGUGAAAGCCCACGGCUCAACCGUGGAGGGUCAUUGGAAACUGGAAAACUUGAGUGCAGAAGAGGAAAGUGGAAUUCCAUGUGUAGCGGUGAAAUGCGCAGAGAUAUGGAGGAACACCAGUGGCGAAGGCGACUUUCUGGUCUGUAACUGACGCUGAUGUGCGAAAGCGUGG